Molecule: long non-coding RNA, 4708 nt
Organism: Dunckerocampus dactyliophorus (ringed pipefish)
Lineage: Eukaryota; Metazoa; Chordata; Actinopteri; Syngnathiformes; Syngnathidae
Exons: 3
Source: RefSeq, a predicted model, not a curated record
CAGACAAUGAAGGAACGGCUGAUGGUUCAAAUGAAGAAGCGGCUGUACAGUGACGGCAUUUCACUCGCCUAGAAACUUCAGCCUUAAGACAUGGAGAUGAAGAUUGGUCGCCUUCAAAACACAGAAUAUGGUGCUGCAACACUUUGUGUUGGUUCUCUCGUGGUAGUCCAUGGGCCUUGCAUCUUUGGCACAACAGUUUGGGGAGGAACCAUGACUGCCUUCACUGCUUGACUGUCAGUCACACCUCUAGCUGCCACCAAUGCAACAUCACUCCUGUCAUCUGAUAUCAACAAAGAAACACUUCACAACAGCAUGGACCUUGAGGAGACAUCAGUGUUAAAGCCUUUUCUACUGGUAAUUACCUUGAGAAACAAUAGCAUCAACCUUCUCUGCUGUCACUUUUGAAGACUCUCCUGGGGGGGAAAGGAACAAAAAGGUUAAAAAUGUGUGCUGUGUCAGCCAUGCAGCAGCCCCCCUCCUCUGGUCUCCCAGCACUCUGCCCAAACCUCCACCCCUACAGUGCUCAGUAUUUUUUUCUGGAAUUUCCUCUUGUGGGACUAAUAAAGGCAUACCUUAUCUUAUAUCUUAAGAACAGCAACAACAGACACUUCCAAAUACAAGAUCAAAAUUAAAGUAUCAAGGUGGAGGGGCUGCUGAGGGCUUGCGCUGCUCUGGAGGACCACUCGCAGGCAUGCCACUGCCUCCAGGACUGGCCGAGCCAUCACUGGAACUCUUGUCCUUCUUGCGUUGCUCACGCUUCUCCUUGUUACUGACCUUGGUCUCCCAUGUACCUGGAAAAUGAAGUUGAGCGCAAUGUGAAAUGAGUUGCAAAAUACCAAAAGAGCUUAUUGUAAGAUUAACGACUUAUGGAUUUGGUAGGAUGAUUAAAUAGAUUGCUUAGACUCGUUAUCAUUUUUUUUUAAAUACCUUUAAGCACAUGUAUGUAUAAACAGACAGUAAUGCUUGUAGCACACAAAAGCCCUCUGCCACAAAAUUAUUAUAUUGUUAGGUUAGCUUGACACACCUACAAAAUGGGAAAAACUUGGUCACGCCUUAAAAACAAAAAAGGUGUGAAAUUCACAUUCUGCCUUAAAUAGGAUGAAUAAGACUCGGUACAGUUUUUCACCAAUGCAAACUACAAUCAUAAUAAUAAAAAUUGCAACAAGUGCACAGAUACCAUAUGUUUUAAUGUGAAUCAUCAUUUGAACCUAUGAAAACCAAAUUAGACACUAAUUAUGAUCUCAAAGUAAAAGAUUACCAUUAGUACUGUCCCCAGCCGAUACUGAUAUCGGUCUGACAUCGGUACGAUAAAGAAAAAAAAAAACAAAACAGCUGUAUUUGUAAAAUAGUGGGAAAAUCUGAUGCGCUACUUUCUGAAAACGAUGACGUCACUGACCCAUCGCCACCCUGUCCCUGUCACGUGACCAGAAGUGAGCUUUGACAACAACCCAACAUAAUAUCUGAAUAUUUAGACUGGCGUGACUCACCCCAGACGACAUUUUCCUGAUAUUUUGUUGUCUUAUACUCAAUAAUGACAAGCGGAAGACGAUGGACUUAUGAGAAUGCAUUCUUUCUUCUUCUAUAGUUGGUGUGUCAUGGGGUUCUGUCUGUGUGUCUGUUUACAGCACCACACAUAGGUCUGCCUUAUGUAUUACAUCCUUUUCACCAAGUGAUCCGUUCUCAUCUGGAUGCAACUAUUGAGUAAUCCGGCAUAGUAUGGAUAUAAAAAAAAUUUCCAACCCGCCAAAAAAUAUUAAAUUUUAAACCCCAGAAACAUUUCUGUGUCGAUAGGGCCUUAAAGCGACAAGCGCAACGACAACGGGUUUUACUGUAUGAGCAUGACACAUGCGCCAACGCAUCGAUGUUCCAGGACCCAUCGAAAAUGAGAACUAGACAAUGAUGAAUGGCAGCAGGAAAUUUUAUGUUUAGGAACACUGGUCAUUAGAAAUGGCACAAUUAAAAACAAUGAUGACAACCUGGCUUACUCUCCUAACCACAGUAAACAAAUAAACCUUACUAUGAAUGUGAUUCUUCACGUUUUACCUUCCUCUGGCUCCUUUCCGGCUGCUGUCACGGUCUCCUUCACUGUCUGUUUGGCUUUCUUCUUGGACUUCUUGGUCUAGAAUAUGAGUGACAGCAAACUGAGCGACAGCUUAUCUUUGUUUGAAAAUCACAAACCAGACAGCAGCAACUACAUCAGCAAAUAGUCAGUCAAAUACGCAUACUCUAGCAAUAUCUAUUUAUAAGUGUAGCAAACUGAUACUGAUAAGUCCAUCCUGAGUCUUAUGACCAUUUGGACAAUGGUUUAUGUGGCUUCAUGCUAUCAAGGAGGUUGUAUUGAAUGAAUUGCUAUACCAUGUGACAUAAGCCAGGAGUCAUCCCCUAAGGGGAUGCAGCAUCUGCUGGUUAUGGUUAACACUUUAAUGAGGGCUUCAGACUAACUGUUUUUACUAGGAGCAGUGGCCCCUAACUUAACAUUUUAGGAGCGCGAGCAAAAAAUUUAGGGGCGCACAUCAAAACCGACUUGCAAACACUCAAACAAUAAAUGACAACUGUUUUUGCUAUCCACCCUGUUUCUGUCCACAGCUUCACAGGCCUCACUAGUGCCUCACUGGUGGUCCGCUUUCCUUCUUCUUUGGCGUUUGUCUCCUUUCUUCCUCUUUAGGAGUUAAUGUGGGUUGGCAAAUUCGCUCAUUUGCACGUUACUGCCAACUACUGGUUUGAAAUGUAGAGAACAAGUUUGUCAGCAACAAAAAAUAUUCAAUAAUAAUAAACUCAAAUUGGCAAAUUAACUGGUAAGGUUGGCAACUUCUGGAAAACUAAAUAAGGGGUGUUUAAGAGUAAUACAACUACAUGGGAAGUUAACUGUUUGUUUCUUAGUUAAAAAUAACAACAGAAUAAAAUAAAUUAAAUAUCUUUCUUAUAAAAAUUUGUCCUGCUUAAUAUAAAACAGUAUAAACUGAGUGUCCAUGUUUAUGCUAGUGCAGGUGUAUCUAACUUCCAGCACUAUUAAAGCUACUUUGACAAAAAGAAAUUAGAGAUGAGCUAUUUUGUGUUUUAUUUGACUGCCAACAUUUCAAUUGUACAUUAUUUACAAACCACAUCUCCACUAAGAUAGUGUGCUCAUUGUUUUUAUACUAUUUGGUGUUCAUUUGUUCAUUAAUACAGGCAUCGUGUCAGAAGUGAACAGUUCUAAUAAAUACUAAGAGUUGAAGCAAAUAUUCUUCGGUGAGCUACUCAACUGAUCAGACGACGAGCUACUGGUAGUUCACGAGCUGCCUGUUAAGAUCCCGUGUUAGCGUAACAAUUUUAAAGCUAUGUGUUUUAUGUUGAACAAAAACACACAACUAGUGUUUUGAAGACGAGAAAUAAUUAUCAUAAUGGUGACAAGAGAGAAAGGUUGUUAAGUGACACUUUGAAAAAGUAGGUUAGCAUGCACCCCAUGAACGAAAUGUCACUGCCGCCAGAGAGACAGUGGAGCCAGGCAAAAUGUGUAAACAAAGACGGUACAAUAGUCGAAAUUCAAUACGAGCCAAACAUGAGCAAUCACACAAGCUGGUAUUGAUAGGCUUAGACCGUGACAAGCUGUCAUCAAUUCACAAACUAUUUUUCAUUCUCACUUUACUGUGAUGGCACAUCAGCAAGUAAAUGAAAAAUUCACUCGCAAUUUCUUGUAUUUUAGUUGCAAAAUGCGACCAUUUAGUCGCAGUCUGGAGCCCUGGUAAUCCAACACUGGCAGCUGCUGUGGUUACAUCACGAAUGUGUGACAGUGACACAAGAGAGGGUUCUCCCCCCUCCCGCCCCUCCUGAGUUUCGCUUUACAGGACCCCUACAAUACACUCACUGACCACAAAAGGAGACACCACCUCGAACAGAACUUUGAGAGAUCACGCUCCAUUUGGAAAUACUGUGCUUGUAGUGGUGUACAAGAGUACUCCAAUGUUCAGUUUGUUUUGAAAUAUUUCUCAAUAUGAUGCGCUGUGUGCUGUUCUUUGAAAUUAUAACCUGCAACAACAAUAGUAGUACUUAUCAAUGCAUAGUUUUUCCAUUGUAUUUGUAUUUGUAUUUGUAUUUGGCUGUGCAAGCUUAAUUGUGAGUAAUAUUGGUGUGCCAUUCCAACAAGGCACGCGACUUAAGGAAGCAGGAGAGUUCAAUGGAGAACUGGAGCAAUCCAAAGAACUGGACAAAUAUUGACGGUUACAUCACGUCGACUACAAGAAAAUUAAGUGUAGGAAAAAAAUAUAAAUGACAAAUGUCGGAAAGUGAAAUAUUUUAAGUGUCAACAAGUAAAAGUUAUGAUGUGAAUUAUCAGUAACAGACAUGAAAAUUAAAUAUAAACUCUGCGUCUUCCUACUCAUUUUCACACAUGUUGAAUUGUGAAAACGUAACCAUGUGAUGUUCCUUAAUGUAACAUGUUGCACAUGUCUGAAAGAAAUUAUCAUACCAUACUGGGGUUAAAACUAGCGGGAUAAGACGAAUGCUGCUCAUAUUACCUCUACUAUCUUUUCCCUCUUGGUUUGUACAGGAAGUGGCUGGUGAUGUGGCACUCUCUCUUCUGCAACUAUACCAUCCUCUUCCUGGAAUUCAACAGCUCGCCCAUUCUGCUGGGCUUUCUAAUAAAAAUGAGAGAUUGACCGAUCAAAUGUUGCAAAUGUACAAUAAAAUUAUUCAUUGUAUAUAUUUAUCUAGUGUCCUAUCGUAGUCUACC